ACAGCAGCAGCCACGGGAAUACGGAGGGUGCAAGCGUUAAUCGGAAUUACUGGGCGUAAAGCGCACGCAGGCGGUCUGACAAGUCAGAUGUGAAAUCCCCGGGCUUAACCUGGGAACUGCAUUUGAAACUGUCAGGCUGGAGUCUUGUAGAGGGGGGUGGAAUUCCAGGUGUAGCGGUGAAAUGCGUAGAGAUCUGGAGGAAUACCGGUGGCGAAGGCGGCCCCCUGGACAAAGACUGACGCUCAGGUGCGAAAGCGUGGGGAGCAAACAGGAUUAGAUACCCCGGUAGUCCCUGUCUCUUAUAC
RNAcentral lists this ribosomal RNA (305 nucleotides) under uncultured bacterium. Its description in RNAcentral is "partial 16S ribosomal RNA". It matches the Rfam family "Bacterial small subunit ribosomal RNA", at positions 506 to 807 of the family's 1533-position model. The record is from RNAcentral.